This 383-nucleotide ribosomal RNA is filed under the name uncultured eukaryote. RNAcentral's name for it is "partial 18S ribosomal RNA". It matches the Rfam family "Eukaryotic small subunit ribosomal RNA", at positions 592 to 976 of the family's 1831-position model. The record is from RNAcentral.
CAAUAGCGUAUAUUAAAGUUGUUGCAGUUAAAAAGCUCGUAGUUGGAUUUCUGGUGGGAGCGAUCGGUCUGGCGCUUAGCGCGAGUACUUGUAUCGUCUCCGGCCAUCCUUGGGGAGAGUCUGUCUGGCAUUAGGUUGUCGGGCAGAGGAUCCUCAUCGUUUACUGUGAAAAAAUUAGAGUGUUCAAAGCAGGCUUAUGCCGUUGAAUAUAUUAGCAUGGAAUAAUAAGAUAGGACUUUGGUACUAUUUUGUUGGUUUGCGCACCAAAGUAAUGAUUAAUAGGGACAGUUAGGGGUAUUCGUAUUCCGUUGUCAGAGGUGAAAUUCUUGGAUUUACGGAAGACGAACUACUGCGAAAGCAUUUACCAAGGAUGUUUUCAUUAA